This 475-nucleotide ribosomal RNA is filed under the name uncultured bacterium. RNAcentral describes it as "bacterial SSU rRNA". It matches the Rfam family "Bacterial small subunit ribosomal RNA", at positions 1 to 507 of the family's 1533-position model. The record is from RNAcentral.
CAGUAGUCACGAGUUUGGAAUCCCGUCGGACUUACGACGAACGAACGCGUGGCGGCAUGCCUAACACAUGCAAGUCGAACGAAGUNUUCGGACUUAGUGGCGCACGGGUGCGUAACGGCGUGGGAAUCUGCCCUUGGGUUCGGAAUAACAGUGAGAAAUUACUGCUAAUACCGGAUGAUGACUUCGGUCCAAAGAUUUAUCGCCCAAGGAUGAGCCCGCGUAAGAUUAGCUAGUUGGUGAGGUAAAGGCUCACCAAGGCGACGAUCUUUAGCUGGUCUGAGAGGAUGAUCAGCCACACUGGGACUGAGACACGGCCCAGACUCCUACGGGAGGCAGCAGUGGGGAAUAUUGGGACAAUGGGCGAAAGCCUGAUCCAGCAAUGCCGCGUGAGUGAUGAAGGCCUUAGGGUUGUAAAGCUCUUUUACCAGGGAUGAUAAUGACAGUACCUGGAGAAUAAGCUCCGGCUAACUCCGUG